CUGACUUUUUUGGGGAGUAGAUGGGUGGGGAGCAUUAACAAUGUUUCUCACUCCCUACCCCUCCACUCCCCAAAAAAGUCAG
This is a microRNA precursor of Cercocebus atys (sooty mangabey), 82 nucleotides long. NCBI's taxonomy places the organism in Eukaryota, Metazoa, Chordata, Mammalia, Primates, Cercopithecidae. The record is from Ensembl.